GACAGAGGGUGCAAACGUUGCUCGGAAUCACUGGGCGUAAAGGGCGUGUAGGCGGGAAGGAAAGUCAGAUGUGAAAUCCCUGGGCUCAACCCAGGAACUGCAUUUGAAACUCCCUUUCUUGAGUGUCGGAGAGGAAAGUGGAAUUCCUGGUGUAGAGGUGAAAUUCGUAGAUAUCAGGAGGAACACCGGUGGCGAAGGCGGUUCUCUGGGACGGUACUGACGCUGAGACGCGAAAGCGUGGGGAGCGAACAGG
Molecule: ribosomal RNA, 253 nt
Filed under: uncultured bacterium
Lineage: Bacteria
Description: partial 16S ribosomal RNA
Rfam family: Bacterial small subunit ribosomal RNA
Source: RNAcentral